This 236-nucleotide ribosomal RNA is filed under the name uncultured Actinomycetales bacterium. Its description in RNAcentral is "partial 16S ribosomal RNA". It matches the Rfam family "Bacterial small subunit ribosomal RNA", at positions 97 to 334 of the family's 1533-position model. Lineage: Bacteria; Bacillati; Actinomycetota; Actinomycetes; Actinomycetales. The record is from RNAcentral.
GGCGAACGGGUGAGUAACACGCGAGUAACCUGCCCUUGACUUUGGGAUAACUUCAGGAAACUGGGGCUAAUAUCGGAUAGGAGCUCCUGCUGCAUGGUGGGGGUUGGAAAGUUUCGGCGGUUGGGGAUGGACUCGCGGCUUAUCAGCUUGUUGGUGGGGUAGUGGCUUACCAAGGCUUUGACGGGUAGCCGGCCUGAGAGGGUGACCGGCCACAUUGGGACUGAGAUACGGCCCAG